CAACCUGCCCUAAAGUGGGGGACAACAGCCUGAAAGGGCUGCUAAUACCGCAUGUGGUCAUUGUUCUGCAUGGGACGAUGUCUAAAGCAAUACUUGUAUUGCGCUUUUGGAUGGGCUUGCGGCCUAUCAGAUAGUUGGUGGGGUAAUGGCCUACCAAGUCGUUGACGGGUAGCUGGUCCGAGAGGACGAUCAGCCGGAUUGGGACUGAGAUACGGCCCAG
RNAcentral lists this ribosomal RNA (220 nucleotides) under uncultured bacterium. RNAcentral describes it as "partial 16S ribosomal RNA". It matches the Rfam family "Bacterial small subunit ribosomal RNA", at positions 122 to 334 of the family's 1533-position model. The record is from RNAcentral.